Molecule: RNA transcript, 1672 nt
Organism: Elaeis guineensis (African oil palm)
Lineage: Eukaryota; Viridiplantae; Streptophyta; Magnoliopsida; Arecales; Arecaceae
Gene name: protein SOSEKI 5
Source: RefSeq, a predicted model, not a curated record
CGCUAUUCUCACACCAUCCCUUUCCCUCUUCGCUAUUCUGCACCAUCUACACUCUAAUCCUCUGUUUAACUUUAAACCUUUACUCUCCCCUGUUUACUCUCCUAUGAUCCUCUGUUUUAGCCGUUAAAAUUCGAAGGCAAUGGCGGCCUCUUCGAGAGGAAGAGGCGAGCUUUCGAAGCAGUGGAAGAAGCGAGAGACGAAUCCGGGGAUAACGAAGGUCUGGUCGGAGCCCGAGCCGAAGCCCAGGACAUCGAGGAGGAAAGUGUCGGUGGUCUACUACCUCGCCAGAGACGGCCAUUUUGAGCACCCUCACUUCAUGGAAGUCCCACUCUCGUCCAUCGAAGGGCUCUAUCUCAGAGAUGUCAUCCAUCGUCUCGAUGUUCUGAGAGGAAAAGGGAUGGCUGCCAUGUACUCGUGGUCUUCCAAAAGGAGCUAUAAGAACGGAUUUGUGUGGCACGAUCUGUCCGAAGACGAUUUCAUCUACCCGGUUCAUGGCCAAGAGUACAUUCUCAAAGGAUCGGAGCUCCCCCACCUGGGCAACAACCCUUCUAACUCUCAAGAAUCCCUCGCUACCUCUUCUUCCACCUACGAGAAGCUUCCCAAAAUCCCUAAUUCCGUCCGGGACGAUUCCAAUUUCCCCGUUUCAAGAAGAAAGAAGACGUCUUGGAGCUCUAUCGAUCUCAACGAGACCCCGGAAUACAAAAGCGCACCGAAACCGGCUCCUGCCGUCACAUUCUCCGACGCCUCGAUCCAGACCGACGACCUGCGACACCGGUGGCGAGUUCCCAUCAGAGAAGAAAGGCGAGAGAAGAUUCCGAAUCUCGAAGCGCUGGAUCUCGACAUUGACGAGAUCUCGCCUCCGCCGUCUCCCUCCAGCCCUGAGACGCUGGAAGCGCUGAUCAAAGCCGACGGCCGCAUCGUGGCGAUACGCCCGGAUUAUCGGCAUCGGACGGUGGGCGACUGCUCGAACGGGAGGGUGAGGGCGUCAUCCGUGCUGAUGCAUCUGAUCUCGUGCGGCUCGAUCUCGGUGAAGGAGACGGGGAUCUCGCUGGUGUCGCAGUACAGGGGAAGACUACCGCGAGUGAAGACCGAACAGGGGACGAAGGAGAUUGAGGCGGGUUCUGGGGGGAUGCCUACUAGUAUUUGGGCAACUGGAUUGGAGGAUAUGGAGUAUUUUAGUGGGAGUUUGAUCGAAACCAGGAAGCUGGGGAGUGACGAUGUUGGAGAAUUCCCAAGCUUGAAGCGGUCGUCUUCGUAUAAUGCUGCUAGUUUCUUUCCUAAAAAUUGUGAACAGGAGCUUAAGAAUGGAACUGAGCAAGGAAAUUGAGGACGACCACCAUGCUAGAGGCAUGCGCAGAAAAUCCAACACAAGGAAAGGAGGGAAAUUUCCCAUCACACGCAGUACAUGCAGGAGCAUAAGGAUCAAUGAUUAACCACCCUAGAACUAGAAUUGGAGAUCUCAGAACGGAAGCAAAACAAGAGGUCAGAUUGUAUACACAUAGCAAAGCUGAGGAUGAUGCCUGUGACACUCGAACCCCUGCUUUAGCUCAGGAAAGCACCUCGGAGAGCAUGACUUGUAGUUGUUUUAACCAGAGAUUGUGUGAAAGAAAAAGAAACAGCAUGUGUAUAAAUGAGGUUUAUGUUUCCCGAAUGGUAUUCUAUAGUUUCUGCC